Molecule: small nucleolar RNA, 67 nt
Organism: Vicugna pacos (alpaca)
Lineage: Eukaryota; Metazoa; Chordata; Mammalia; Artiodactyla; Camelidae
Gene: SNORD58
Rfam family: Small nucleolar RNA SNORD58
About the family: snoRNA U58 is found in introns 1, 3 and 6 of the ribosomal protein RPL17 gene in humans. U58 is a member of the C/D class of snoRNA which contain C (UGAUGA) and D (CUGA) box motifs.
Source: Ensembl
UUGCUCCUGUGAUGGCAGUUUUGGACACCUUUGUAUUAACCAUGAAAAAAAACAUGUUCUGAGCAAC